GGAAUAAAAGUCGUAACAAGGUUUCCGUAGGUGAACCUGCGGAGGGAUCAUUAUCGUAUCUCUGACGUGGCGGGUCGGCCCUGCUCGGGUUCCGAAAGGGCCUUUGCAGCGGGUCGCCCGUCGCGCUCAACCUUCACAAACCCCUGUGCACCUUUACGGCGGAGGGUGGAGGCGAGAGCCCCGUCCGAUGCCGCAUAACACAAACACUAGUUCAAAAAGAAUGAUCAGUGGCCUCUGUGCCGCCUAAAAACAUGACAACUUUCAACAACGGAUCUCUUGGCUCUC
Molecule: unclassified non-coding RNA, 285 nt
Filed under: plant metagenome
Description: partial contains small subunit ribosomal RNA, internal transcribed spacer 1, and 5.8S ribosomal RNA
Rfam family: Eukaryotic small subunit ribosomal RNA (bases 1-53)
Source: RNAcentral